This 460-nucleotide ribosomal RNA is filed under the name uncultured bacterium. RNAcentral's name for it is "partial 16S ribosomal RNA". It matches the Rfam family "Bacterial small subunit ribosomal RNA", at positions 338 to 795 of the family's 1533-position model. The record is from RNAcentral.
CCUACGGGAGGCAGCAGUGAGGAAUAUUGGUCAAUGGGCGGAAGCCUGAACCAGCCAAGUAGCGUGCAGGAUGACGGCCCUACGGGUUGUAAACUGCUUUUAUCCGGGAAUAACGCGCCUUACGUGUAGGCCUUUGCAUGUACCGUAUGAAUAAGGCCUGGCCAAUUCCGUGCCCCCAGCCCGGGGUAUCAGGGAGGUCCGGAGGUUUUCCGGUUUUUUUGGGUUUAAAGGGGGCGUAGGGCGGAUUUCAAGCGUGGCGGGAAAUGUCCGGGUUCAACCGGGGCCUUGCAGCGGAAACUGGCGUGCUUGAGUGCGCGGGAAGCAGGCGGAAUGCGUGGUGUAGCGGUGAAAUGCUUAGAUAUGACGAAGAACCCCGAUUGCGAAGGCAGCUUGCUGCAGCGGAACUGACGCUGAUGCUCGAAAGCGCGGGUAUCGAACAGGAUUAGAUACCCUGGUAGUC